GCCUUGGCCAGCUCCCCGCCGUUCUGCUGGCACGCCUGCGUCGCGUCGUCCAUGAACCCCGAGAGAGCUAGGUUGAAGUCGGUGAGCUGCGACCUGGUUGUCUCUAGGGUUGCGUCUCCGCCUGCUUCGUACGAGAGGUUCUUCUGGGCCUUCUCCAGGAUCGUCUGCAGGUACUUCCCUUGCGCCUCGAUGCGCAUUUGCAGCUUCUUCUGA
Molecule: ribosomal RNA, 213 nt
Filed under: Triticum aestivum (bread wheat)
Lineage: Eukaryota; Viridiplantae; Streptophyta; Magnoliopsida; Poales; Poaceae
Description: partial small subunit ribosomal RNA
Source: RNAcentral